RNAcentral lists this ribosomal RNA (491 nucleotides) under uncultured soil bacterium. RNAcentral's name for it is "bacterial SSU rRNA". It matches the Rfam family "Bacterial small subunit ribosomal RNA", at positions 26 to 515 of the family's 1533-position model. The record is from RNAcentral.
AGAUUGAACGCUGGCGGCAUGCCUUACACAUGCAAGUCGAACGGCAGCACGGGGGCAACCCUGGUGGCGAGUGGCGAACGGGUGAGUAAUGCAUCGGAACGUGCCCAGUAGUGGGGGAUAACUAGUCAAAAGAUUAGCUAAUACCGCAUACGACCUAUGGGUGAAAGCGGGGGAUUCGCAAGAACCUCGCGCUAUCGGAGCGGCCGAUGUCUGAUUAGCUAGUUGGCGGGUAAAAGCCCACCAAGGCUUCGAUCAGUAGCUGGUCUGAGAGGACGACCAGCCACACUGGGACUGAGACACGGCCCAGACUCCUACGGGAGGCAGCAGUGGGGAAUUUUGGACAAUGGGCGCAAGCCUGAUCCAGCCAUGCCGCGUGCGGGAAGAAGGCCUUCGGUGUAAACCGCUUUUGGCAGGAACGAAACGGCGCGAGCGAAUAUCUCGCGUUAAUGACGGUACUGCAGAAUAAGCACCGGCUAACUACGUGCAGCACG